ACGAGAUCGCCGCAGCCGCUGCUCCUCCUCUCCCGGGACGCAGCCGCCACCGCCGAACCAGGGAGACGCCAGCGACCGUCGCUGCCGUCGUGGAUCACCAGGAAGCCACCGCCACCGUCGCGCCUCGGAUAUGUCGCGGAUCACCGGGACGCGGCCGUCGCGGAUCAGGAACACCAGGACACCGCCGGCGGCGGCCCCUCGGAUACCGGCAACCGGCGGCGAUUGAGACCAACGAGGCGGCACCACACCCCUG
RNAcentral lists this ribosomal RNA (253 nucleotides) under Triticum aestivum (bread wheat). Its description in RNAcentral is "partial small subunit ribosomal RNA". Lineage: Eukaryota; Viridiplantae; Streptophyta; Magnoliopsida; Poales; Poaceae. The record is from RNAcentral.